GAUCCGUAACCUUGGGAGAAGGAUCGGCUCUGGGGGCUGAGAUCAGAUACAUGUCGGUCCAGUUGGAAACUGUGCUCUUCGGUGCCCAUCGUUGUGGAGUUACUGAACUCUUGCCGUGAUCUAUCGUGGGCGGUUUUAGUUGUUAGCGUUGUAUAACUAGAAACUCGCGUGGACUUGCUCUGCGUUGCGUAAAGCGGCUGUGCUUCCAUUGUUUGACACGCGACAGCUAACUCAGAACUGAUACGGACCGGAGGAAUCUGACAGUCUAAUUAAAACAAAGCAUUGUGAUGUCCGCUGACCGGUUAUGGCGCAAUAUGAUUUCUGUCCAGUGCUCGGAAUGCAAAUAAAAUGAAAUUCGACCAAAUGCGGGUAAACGGCGGGAAAAACGAUGACAACCCGCUACCAAAUUAGUUAUUCUUUCUAAUGAACCAUUCUUAC
This 438-nucleotide non-coding RNA is filed under the name Trichobilharzia regenti. Its description in RNAcentral is "Eukaryotic large subunit ribosomal RNA". It matches the Rfam family "Eukaryotic large subunit ribosomal RNA", at positions 1925 to 2275 of the family's 3401-position model. Lineage: Eukaryota; Metazoa; Platyhelminthes; Trematoda; Strigeidida; Schistosomatidae. The record is from Rfam by way of RNAcentral.